CGGGCCGUUCUGCGAUUGGAUGUACCUAGGUGGGAGUUAGCUAGUUGGUGAGGUAAUGGCUCACCAAGGCGACGAUCCCUACGCUGUUCUGAGAGGAUGAUCAGCCACACUGGGACUGAGACACGGCCCAG
This 131-nucleotide ribosomal RNA is filed under the name uncultured bacterium. Its description in RNAcentral is "partial 16S ribosomal RNA". It matches the Rfam family "Bacterial small subunit ribosomal RNA", at positions 202 to 334 of the family's 1533-position model. The record is from RNAcentral.